UACGAAGGGGGCUAGCGUUGCUCGGAAUUACUGGGCGUAAAGGGCGCGUAGGCGGUUCGUUAAGUCCUGUGUGAAAUCCCCCGGCUCAACUGGGGAACUGCACAGGAAACUAGCGGGCUUGAGUUCGGGAGAGGGAAGCGGAAUUCCGGGUGUAGCGGUGAAAUGCGUAGAUAUCCGGAGGAACACCGGUGGCGAAGGCGGCUUCCUGGACCGACACUGACGCUGAGGCGCGAAAGCUAGGGGAGCAAACGGG
Molecule: ribosomal RNA, 253 nt
Filed under: uncultured bacterium
Lineage: Bacteria
Description: partial 16S ribosomal RNA
Rfam family: Bacterial small subunit ribosomal RNA
Source: RNAcentral